MicroRNA precursor from Macaca mulatta (Rhesus monkey), 58 nucleotides. NCBI's taxonomy places the organism in Eukaryota, Metazoa, Chordata, Mammalia, Primates, Cercopithecidae. The record is from Ensembl.
AGAAGUAAUUGCUGUUUUUGCCAUUACUUUUAAAGACAAAAACUGCAGUGACUUCUGU